CCUACGGGAGGCAGCAGUGAGGAAUAUUGGUCAAUGGGCGCGAGCCUGAACCAGCCAAGUCGCGUGAGGGAUGACGGCCCUACGGGUUGUAAACCUCUUUUGCCGGGGAGCAACGGGCGCCACGUGUGGCGCCACUGAGAGUACCCGGAGAAAAAGCAUCGGCUAACUCCGUGCCAGCAGCCGCGGUAAUACGGAGGAUGCGAGCGUUAUCCGGAUUUCUUGGGGUUAAAGGGUGCGUAGGCGGAUCGUUAAGUCAGUGGGCAAAUUGUGGGGCUCAACCCCUUCCCGCCCUUGAAAAGGGCGCUCUUGAGUGGAAGAGAAGUAUGCGGACUGCGUGGUGUAGCGGUGAAAUGCAUAGAUAUCACGCAGAACCCCGAUUGCGAAGGCAGCAUGCCGGCUUCCGACUGACGCUGAAGCACGAAAGCGUGGGGAUCGAACAGGAUUAGCUACCCGAGUAGUC
This 460-nucleotide ribosomal RNA is filed under the name uncultured bacterium. RNAcentral's name for it is "partial 16S ribosomal RNA". It matches the Rfam family "Bacterial small subunit ribosomal RNA", at positions 338 to 795 of the family's 1533-position model. The record is from RNAcentral.